GCAUUAUAUUAGCCGCCAGCAAUAAUAAUAAUGAUAAUCAAGACUUAACACAUUCUCAUGUUGUUACAAUGUGAACAGAAGAAUUUGCUUUACAUGGUAGAUUAUUGAUCAACAAAGUCAAUUAAUCCUCUUUUAAUAAAAUUUCUUUUGUUCUUAACUAAUUUCACAAGCAAACGUGCCAUCCACGAUGCUGGGUCAGACACGGCUCGAGGAGUUGAAGAAUUCCGUUGGGGUUUCAGACGUUGAAAGAUCAAGCAAACCAACUCCACCAAUCAGUGAUUUUUGUCAUCUUAAAAUUCCCCAUUUAGGACCUAGAAGAUGAUUCGCAACUUUGCACAAGGCCCAUGUUUUAAGGUAUGCUCAAUUUCAUCUUGCACCAAGUCCAUAACUUUCCCAGAGACAAAAGAGAAAAAUUACAUUCUGUUUGGGAAGAAAUAAGUACAAUUUUUUGGAAUAAAAUUAAUUAAAAGUACCAAGUAUACAAAAAAAAAAUUGUUUAAGCUAUUGAAGAGAAAAAGCCAUUUUAGCAAUCAAAACCUUGUUAUAAAUCCCUACACGAGAAUCAAACACUUUGCUUUCUGUGUUGACCACAUCAUCUGAAGAACUGAUGAGAAAGUCGCAAAAGGUGAUGUUAUGAUCCAGAAACAUGUAAUAGGUGAACAUAACUAAUCGUUUAGUCGGUAUGAUCUCCCUCUGAAAGCUGUACCAGUAGUUCGUUCAGGUUGCACCCGAUUGUUUGUUGGGGCUGGAGCUCCUAUUCUCCAUCUUGCAACCAGUUUAUGUCUACAACAGUUAAGGAAAUUGAAGGAGCAAGAAAAUAAAAUAAAACAUAUUCUAGUCACUUAUCAAUCAACUGGGGAUUAAUCAAAGAAUUAAACAACUGGUUAAUGACAAUGCAAUGGGAAGAUUUCAUCACAGCCCAAGUUUUAAUGUUUGAAUGAUUGCUACUGCAAUGAUGCCAUCAUGUGAUGAGGAAGAAGACAGCAUGCUGUAGUAUGAUGGUUAUGUUUUUAUGCAGACGAAUGAGAAUGGCUAAUCAGAACUCCACAUCUAGACUCAAUACUUGAAUAACUUCCUAGUGCAACAGAGAAACUGAGCAGGAGAGCUUAUCAAGAGACUGGGACAUUGACAGAAGGCAUCUUUAAUGAUGACUGCAAAUUGAACACAUGAAAUUGCUAUUGCAAACAGAUAAAUAUACUUUUUCCAAGAGGGGAACCAAGUAAUUAAAGGAUACACCCAUCUUGGAGUUUUAAGCAAGGUCUUUCCAGUUGCAAGUGGAUGCAACACAGUCAAAAAGUAAUAUAGAUGCCCUGCAAUGAUUCCCAGCAGAUCCGGCAUAAGAGGGGAACCAAAAAUGACAUCUAAAGCAAGCAUAGCCCAUGGUAGAUAAAAUGCCUGAGAAAACAAGAGAACAUGAAAGGUGGAGAUGAGCAUAUGUGUUAGAUAAGAAAAUCCUAACCCCCAAUAUCUUAUAAUGCAGAAAAAAACACCCAACAAAAUUUGCAACUGAAUAUAUCUCAAGCAUACCUUAAGAGUCACAAGGCCAUAUAUGUUGAUCUGAGCAUUUGGGAAUUCUCUACUCCAGACAUAGACAAGCAUGAACACAAGUGAUAUCCCCAAGAAAGGAGACCAAAAUAUAGGAAUGGCAGAUAAUACCUACAAUCCAGAGGGGAGAAUAUGAUCAAUCAGUUGAAAAGAUGGUUUUCCACAUGUGCAAUCAACGAAAGGAGGUUUGAAAACCACAUCUUCAUAUGGAAGGAAUUAUCUAGGCUAAAGCUCAAAAUGCUCCACGAAUUUUCAAAAGAUGAAUUUGCACAAUGGCAGAAAAGCCAAAGCAGGAAAAAAGGGGGAAAGAACAGUAAGACUAGAUAACUUUAGUCUUCAGCUCACGAUAUUAGGCCCUCCCCAGUUUUAGUCUAUGGUACAAUCAAUCCAUCAGGCAUUUUCAAUUGAAAAAAUCAUUUCAACCAAUGGAAAAGAUAUCUGAAUUAAUAAAGAAGAAAACACAUACUAGCAUUGAAAAGGCUCCAAAUAGGAUCAUCCACAAGAAAUCUGCCGUACGCCUAUCAAAUGGUCCUUUCUCAAGUUGAACGCCAUACCUUGCUAUCAUUAAGAGGCGAAUUCCAAAAUUGAUAGAAAAUUUUCCAAGAAAAAAGAAGUUUGUAAUAAGCCUCCACACCUGAAAGCGUGAGAAUACAAGUUUAUAUAUCAAAGCGAUAUGCACCACAUCGAAUACACCAAGCUGAUAAGCUGCAGUGAAAAGAAGGCACAGAGUCCCAUAAGCCUUGCUUAUAGGUGGAAGAGACUGAUAGUAUUCGGCAGGGGAAGACAUUGAAGACAAGGUAAGCUAAAUUGAGAUGGAGAAAAUGGCUCCUUGGACUAAAAAUUUCGAAAAUGAUAGUUGUGAUUUGUGAAAAUUCUAAGCCGUUUUAAGUCGAAUAUUCUGAAAUCUAUGAAGAGAUUGGUACGAUCCAGAAGGUUCCUGGCUCUUCCUAGCUUUCGUGCUCGGUUGGUCUCUAUCGUUUCGCUCGAAUUUGGCCAGCAAUGGAGGCAUAACACAGUUGGACUCAGCCUCUGAUAUUA
This 2583-nucleotide unclassified non-coding RNA is filed under the name Hevea brasiliensis (rubber tree). Lineage: Eukaryota; Viridiplantae; Streptophyta; Magnoliopsida; Malpighiales; Euphorbiaceae. The record is from RNAcentral.